This 477-nucleotide ribosomal RNA is filed under the name uncultured bacterium. RNAcentral describes it as "bacterial SSU rRNA". It matches the Rfam family "Bacterial small subunit ribosomal RNA", at positions 30 to 506 of the family's 1533-position model. The record is from RNAcentral.
AUUGAACGCUGGCGGCAUGCUUUACACAUGCAAGUCGAACGGCAGCACGGGUGCUUGCACCUGGUGGCGAGUGGCGAACGGGUGAGUAAUGCAUCGGAACGUGCCUAUUAGUGGGGGAUAACGCUUCGAAAGGAGUGCUAAUACCGCAUAAUCUCUGAGGAGGAAAGCAGGGGACCUUCGGGCCUUGCGCUGAUAGAGCGGCCGAUGUCGGAUUAGCUAGUUGGUGAGGUAAAGGCUCACCAAGGCGACGAUCCGUAGCGGGUCUGAGAGGAUGAUCCGCCACACUGGGACUGAGACACGGCCCAGACUCCUACGGGAGGCAGCAGUGGGGAAUUUUGGACAAUGGGCGCAAGCCUGAUCCAGCCAUGCCGCGUGAGUGAAGAAGGCCUUCGGUGUAAAGCUCUUCGGCCGGAAGAAUCGUAUGGUUAAUACCUGUGCGGAUGACGGUACGGCAUAAGAAGCACCGGCUAACUACGU